RNAcentral lists this long non-coding RNA (757 nucleotides) under Salmo salar (Atlantic salmon). RNAcentral's name for it is "lncRNA (ENSSSAG00000109068.1)". The record is from RNAcentral. Lineage: Eukaryota; Metazoa; Chordata; Actinopteri; Salmoniformes; Salmonidae.
GUUAGUCAUUAACUCCUGAUUCUUAAGGUUAGUCAUUAACUCCUGAUUCUUAAGGUUAGUCAUUAACUCCUGAUUCUUAAGGUUAGUCAUUAACUCCUGAUUCUUAAGGUUAGUCAUUAUUAACUCCUGAUUCUUAAGGUUAGUCAUUAACUCCUGAUUCUUAAGGUUAGUCAUUAACUCCUGAUUCUUAAGGUUAGUCAUUAACUCCUGAUUCUUAAGGUUAGUCAUUAUUAACACCUGAUUCUUAAGGUUAGUCAUUAUUAACUCCUGAUUCUUAAGGUUAGUCAUUAACUCCUGAUUCUAAAGGUUAGUCAUUAACUCCUGAUUCUUAAGGUUAGUCAUUAACUCCUGAUUCUUAAGGUUAGUCAUUAACUCCUGAUUCUAAAGGUUAGUCAUUAACUCCUGAUUCUUAAGGUUAGUCAUUAACUCCUGAUUCUAAAGGUUAGUCAUUAACUCCUGAUUCUUAAGGUUAGUCAUUAACUCCUAAGCCUACUUGAAGGUAACAGCUCUCACUGUUGCCCCUAGUGGCCAGUUUCCACAUCUUCUCCUCAGACAUGGGUGAACGUCCAAUACCAUUUUGAAUCGCCGGAAUGUUAAGGGUUCUGCUCUCCUCUGUUGCGACCAAAUGGAAUAAGCUACUGUGCAGUGUGUGUCUGUGUGUGCACUGUGUGUGUGUGUGUGCUGUGUUUGUUCGUGUGUGAGAGAGAAAGGGUGUGAGAGAGAAAGGGUGUGAGAGAGGGAGAGAGAGAGAGGGAGA